UGCUUCUCAUGAGCUCCUCUCUGUCAGUUCAGUGGCGUUGUAUGGAUUCGCACGAGAAGUAGAUUCAAAGUCACACUCAAACAGGUGUUUCCAGGUGUUUCAUUGGAAAGUACCCAUGUCUGAUGUGAGACAUCU
Small nucleolar RNA from Rhinichthys klamathensis goyatoka, 135 nucleotides. RefSeq annotates it as small nucleolar RNA SNORA75. The transcript has a single exon. The record is from RefSeq and is a predicted model, not a curated record. NCBI's taxonomy places the organism in Eukaryota, Metazoa, Chordata, Actinopteri, Cypriniformes, Leuciscidae.